Molecule: unclassified non-coding RNA, 181 nt
Filed under: uncultured Dothideomycetes
Lineage: Eukaryota; Fungi; Ascomycota; Dothideomycetes
Description: sequence contains ITS2
Source: RNAcentral
CAAACCUCAAGCUUCUGCUUGGUAUUGAGCGGUUUCGCCUUCGGAAACGGAGGCGCCCUCGAAACCCGUGGGCGGUGAUGUCCAGCGUCGUAGCGUAGUCAUAAACCAUUCCGCUUCCGAUCGCUUCUGGACGAUUCACCCGCCGGGAGAACCGACGCCUUCUGGUGUCAUUUUUUCUAAG